CCCUUAGAUGUUCUGGGCCGCACGCGCGCUACACUGACGAUGGCAACGAGUUUUUCCUUCGCCGAAAGGUGUGGGUAAUCUUUUGACACAUCGUCGUGCUGGGGAUAGAUCAUUGCAAUUUUUGAUCUUGAACGAGGAAUUCCUAGUAAGCGCGAGUCAUCAGCUCGCGUUGAUUACGUCCCUGCCCUUUGUACACACCGCCCGUCGCUACUACCGAUUGAAUGGUUUAGUGAGGACUCCUGAUUGGCGCCGCCGCCCCGGCAACGGAGCAGCGGACUGCCGAAAAGUUGUUCAAACUUGAUCAUUUAGAGGAAGUAAAAGUCGUAACA
Molecule: ribosomal RNA, 329 nt
Filed under: uncultured eukaryote
Lineage: Eukaryota
Description: partial 18S ribosomal RNA
Rfam family: Eukaryotic small subunit ribosomal RNA
Source: RNAcentral